UUUUUUUUUUUUCUUUUUUUGUUUUGUUUUGUUUUCCAUUUACCUUGAAAUCUGUCUACAGAUCAAUGGCUCACAGAACAAUUUCCUGAGCAAGGACAGUUCUCGGCAUCAGCAGAUUUAUGUCAAAGGCUGCCAACAGAUGAAGUCAUGGAAGGAACAAAUUUAUAUUUAUCAGAAAAUUAAACAAUCUUGCAAACCUCUUUCAAUUUAAUCACACAAGUCCUGCUCUCCUGCCUAUGAUCCAAGCACCCACGGGGAUUAAGAGCAUUACAAGAAGAAACACUUUGCCCAAGCAAAUUAUUCCCUUACAAACACAGAAGAGAAAGAACACCAGAUGUUCAAAAAGAAUUGGGUGUAGGUUUAAGAAUCAAAAAGGAUGAUGAAUAUGGACCAUGAAAUGGAGCAUUAAGCAAUGUGAUAAGCAUCUGUUGAGUAAUAAACCCAGUCUUUGUGCAGUUCUUUCUUCAAAGUGAAUUUAAUGGAAAAGUUUUUCAGUCAUAAAACAUUGGUCCUUUAAAGAAUGGUAUUUUAUGUGUUAAUAAUCACCCACCACCAAAUAAAACACUAUUUAUCUAUGAAAUAGAAGCCUUGCACUUUUAUCAAUUGAUAAAUAAAGGGCUGCUUUUAAGGCUAUAAAAUCAGAUGGGAAGCCACAAGUGACCCACCUUGUGAGAAAACACAAGCAGAGACAGAACCCUUGGAAAACACCUGCACAGUGCAUUUCAUCCCAGGUUUUUCCACUGAGGAUGCACAGCUUGGGAUGGGCAUCCUGGCAUCACUGCAGGGACCUUGGCCCAGAAACCUCUGUGAAUAAAAAAUAUGACGUCCUCAGCAUCUUUAAAGUAAUUUAUUUAAGUACAUUUACCUUGUACUGAAGCCUUUGACAAGGCAGAAUCAAAAUUAAUCUGAUAAUCCCAUUAUUAAAAAAUCAGCAAACUCUGGGCUUCCUCCUCAGUUCACCACAUAAUUUCUCAUAAGGAAAGCAGGAGCAUAUGACACAUGCUGUUUUAACUGAUUUGCAAAUUAAACUAGAAUAGUUUAAUAAUUAAGCUAGAAGAGUUAAUACUUCCUCUUUGUUCCUGUAGGAUUCCGGAGGGAUGACUGAGUGGCUCCAAACACUGAUGUGGGAAGUGUGGGAGGAACAGGGCGAGACCUACACAGGUGGGAUGUCACUGCUGCACCUCCAGCGCCUGAGCCACCCACACACACAAACGGAGGCGGCUCAAUGCACGGCCUGGCACAGAAUGGCAGAGUUACCCACAGCCUGGCACAGAAUGGCAGAGUUACCCACAGCCUGGCACAGAAUGGCAGAGUGACCCAUGGCCUGGCACAGAAUGGCAGAGUUACCCAUGGCCUGGCACAGAAUGGCAGAGUUACCCACAGCCUGGCACAGAAUGGCAGAAGUGACUGCACAGACUCACACAAAAUGGCGGAGUGUCCCACACCCUCAAACAAAAUGUCUGUCAGACUCCAAAGCCUGACACAAAAUGGCGCUCUGACCCCACAGCCCGACACAAAAUGUCUGUCUGACGCCACAGCCCGACACACACAGACCCUUUCCCUGCUUUGCCCUUCUCCAGAGUGGCAGACACCGACUCCCCCACCUUCUCCUGCCCUUGCCCAAGAUGCUGGCCCCGGCAGGGAGAGUGGCCAUGGCCCCACUCACCCUCCAGGCGCUUCACAGCCGGGCUCAGAGCAGGAGAAUUCACCAGAGACCGAGAUACAAAACUCCUGGGGACAAGCAACACAAGUCAGAUUAACAUCCCAGAGAGAGUAACCACCAGUGCCUUUGGAAAUAAUGCUGAUUUUCCCGGGGUGUGUUUUAGCAGCACCCCGGGCUCUGGUUUGAAGCGGGAGCUCAUUUGGCUGACUGCUCUGGGUUUCUGGGAAGCUGGUUGCUCUGGAAAACUUCAGGUGAACAGCAGAAUCCCUGCUUUUGUAUCUGGCUAUGAGCAUUUGUGCUCUAUUCCAUCCCUGCUGGCCUAAAUGUGCACAGCUCCUUUCUCUAAAGGCUGAAUUCACAGUCUGCAUUUCCAUGCUGCUACUUUAGAACAGCUUUUACCUGCAAACAGCUGUACUCUGAAGGGAGUCUGCAAGCAAAACACCUGGGAAGUUCAGGGAUUCCAUUCCUCUGCCAGUAUUUCAAGUCACUGCUCAAGUCCUACUGACCCUCUGCUCUGAGCCAACUCUUCCAUCUUUACCCUUUAUUUUAAUGACUGAUUAGAAUUUCUAACUUAACUUCUUACUCCAGAAUGUGUUGCUGCUCAUCUUUCACCUUCUCACCUUUGGACGUUCAUGCAUUAUUUACUUUCCCACUUCUUACUAAUUUUUAUCUGUGUUCUGCAGGUGACUAGACCAGCUUUGUUAAUCUCUCAGUGAACUGCAGAUCAGCAGCUGCUGCGCUGUUGUAACAGAUCAGUGAAAUAAUUUUUCAUUAUUUCUCAGCUUUUGGAAAAAACCCACCUCACGUGAACGCUUCGGUGUCUGGACAUAAAAACCAUCAUCUCCACAAACACAGAAUUAAGCUGCAGUCUUGUUCCAGGUCAGGCCUCCCAUUUUUUGUAUCAAUCAGCAACACAAACCCAUGUGCCUGCUACACCCACAGCACAAGGGUUCCCUCUUCCAGCCCAUCCAGGGGGAAGAUCCAGCCCGCCCUGGGCGGCAGCAGGAGAGGAGAAGUGUCCCAGUCCCUGCAGGUGUAACAGCAUUUAAAAAUCAACCCCUGCAACCCACCCUCAUCAGGCUUGGGGGGAUUCUGCACAGGGCCUGAAAGAGGGAACUGAGCAAUGAAACCACACUUGGGUACAAACAUUCUCUGCCAUGACAAUGUAACAGGACACACCAUUUUAAACAGAGGUAGGACUGAUUCUCACUCCUCUGUUAUGUCAGAAAUCCAAACUCAGACUCUCCCUUUCUCCAUCUUUCCUUCACAAGCUGCAUCCAGCUCAGUCAUGGUAACAAGAGCAGAAGUGUUUCUGGCAGACACAACAUUUAAACUUACAUCCUUCUAGGAAUGUUAGAGCUCAGUUAUAGGUCUGCUGGCACCAAUUACCAACUUGCCACAUCUCAGAGAAUUCUCACACGUAAACAGGGUACUGCAAAAAAUGGCACUGCCUCCUCCAAUAAUCAAUUGUUUAAAUAAAGCAGAUCAACAUACAUUUUACUCUCAAAAUAUCCUAUUACUCUAUAUGUAGCCACAAUAUUAUACAGCAUUUCUCAGGGGGGUGGAAUUAAAUCCAUAACAAAGCACAGAAUCAUCCAAGAUACUGCUGCACAGUGAGGAGGACAUAUACUUUUAUUGAGAUUGAAGCAAUCAUCUCCAGAGGCUCAGGAACAGUUGUUCAGUGCUGUGACAGUCACACUACCCCAGUGACAAUUUCCUGCCUUUAUUCCUACUCCAGAGUUACUGAGGGAGUGAUUGCAAAGCCUUUGGUGUCAAUUUGCUGUGAUACAAUUAGCAAAGAGAGCAAGUGAAUUCCCUUUUUUCAUCCACACUACAACAACGGAGUCUAAAGAACAGAAAUUGGCCUAAAGCAUGACUUACCUGAAUGAUUACAGAAAAUAAAAAUCCUCAGCUAAACACCCUGAAACACAACAGCACAUGGAGACAGGUGGAGAUCCAGCAGAAUCUCACUUACCUGUAGAACUCUUGUACAACCAAGCACAACCAAGUGGAUCCCUCUUGAAGGAAAAUGUGCAAUUUUGAACUAAAAGCUGCUCUUUGAGGAAGGCACAGAGAACAUAAAACUGCAGUGAACAUUUAGAUUUGAGUGCAAACUCUCUCAGCUACCUUUUCCUUUUCCUUACGAGAACCAUUUCAGAUCCAGCUUCAGGUAUCUUCAUGCCUUUUGAGGGCACUUUGAAGCAAAAUAACUGAUUUUAAUUUUUUUACAAAGUACAUUACAAGUGAAGGGAGGAAAAUGCUGGUCAAUGAAUAUUUGAUCUCUCCACAUUUCCAGGAAACACAGAAUUAAGUCUCAAAAAGCUAAUGAAAUCUUGCUUGAGGGAUUUGCCCUUUAUGAGGGUCACAUGAGUGCCCCAUCUUUUUCUGGUAUUUAUGAAGGUGAUUUGAACAGAA
Molecule: long non-coding RNA, 4078 nt
Filed under: Taeniopygia guttata (zebra finch)
Lineage: Eukaryota; Metazoa; Chordata; Aves; Passeriformes; Estrildidae
Description: lncRNA (ENSTGUG00000029375.1)
Source: RNAcentral